Molecule: ribosomal RNA, 475 nt
Filed under: uncultured organism
Description: partial 16S ribosomal RNA
Rfam family: Bacterial small subunit ribosomal RNA
Source: RNAcentral
ACACUCCUACGGGAGGCAGCAGUGGGGAAUUUUGGACAAUGGGCGAAAGCCUGAUCCAGCAAUGCCGCGUGAGUGAAGAAGGCCUUCGGGUUGUAAAGCUCUUUUGUCAGGGAAGAAACGGUGAAAGCUAAUAUCUUUUGCUAAUGACGGUACCUGAAGAAUAAGCACCGGCUAACUACGUGCAAGCAGCCGCGGUAAUACGUAGGGUGCAAGCGUUAAUCGGAAUUACUGGGCGUAAAGCGUGCGCAGGCGGUUUUGUAAGUCUGAUGUGAAAUCCCCGGGCUCAACCUGGGAAUUGCAUUGGAGACUGCAAGGCUAGAAUCUGGCAGAGGGGGGUAGAAUUCCACGUGUAGCAGUGAAAUGCGUAGAUAUGUGGAGGAACACCGAUGGCGAAGGCAGCCCCCUGGGUCAAGAUUGACGCUCAUGCACGAAAGCGUGGGGAGCAAACAGGAUUAGAAACCCCGGUAGUCCCAUG